Ailuropoda melanoleuca (giant panda) is the source of this 1429-nucleotide long non-coding RNA. RefSeq lists it as uncharacterized. NCBI's taxonomy places the organism in Eukaryota, Metazoa, Chordata, Mammalia, Carnivora, Ursidae. The transcript is spliced from 3 exons. The record is from RefSeq and is a predicted model, not a curated record.
GGCUAAUCUUAUGCUCCCCAUUUUACAGGCCGACACACAUCGGCUAAGAAAGGUGGAGUCACCGGAGGUACCGAGGAGAGACGGGCGCAGCCGGGGCCCAGCCCUGGGAGAACGGGUGAGGGGCCACCAGCCUGGCACCUCGGUUCCUCCCUCUGCGGUAGGCAGACACGGAGGAGAUGAGGUUUCCAGGGCUCUAAGAAUUCGAUGACUCUUCCCUGCCCCCACCCAAUCAAAGGAGCAUACAAACCACAAGGGAACAAAAUAACAACACGGAAAACCACAGCUAGCAGGUAGUAACUGCUGGAGAGUAACUGCUGGGGGGCUGUGCUCUGGGCCCUUUGCAUGACUUCUAUAAUCCUUCCAACAGCCCUGAUGUGCCCACUUCACAGAUCGGGAAACACGCCGAAAUAGCCAGGGGGGAUCUGCGGGUGGGGCACCAUGGCCCACGUCCUGUAGAGAAGGGGAAAUCUGGAUGGGAACCGAGGGUGCUGCCAGGCCCCAUCUGCCCCUCUCCCCCUCCCCACACCGAAUCCCAGGGUGACGGAACUGAAGAAGGGGGCCUCAUCAACCAGAAAGAAGCUUCGGGAAGUGGGAAGUCCGUGUGGGCCCUACUGCCGGGUUUACGAUCCUCUGUAUGUUCUGCGCUCAGCUUUACGUGAAGAAAGUGUUGACGGGCACAGAACAAUUUCACAGAUCCUCGAAGGAGUUCAAUGUCCCGUCUAGUGAAUGGUGGAACUGAGGCCCAGAGAAGGGAAGUGAAUUGCCCUGCGGAAGACAGCAGAGCUGGGACGAGAACUCAUGUCCCAGGUCUCUCGGUGCUGUGCUCGGUGCCUUCGGGAGCCGUGGCCUGACAUUGCCAGCCCUGAGCAAGGACUGAAGCUCCUUGGCUGUCAGACAGAAAUUCCAAGCAAGACCUUUUGGAUUUUGUGAAGCAGGGCUUGCCUAGUAAAAUCGGGUGAAGCCCGGCUUGGGUUUUUCCCUGAGCUUUCCUGAGAUCUGAUUGACAUGUAACAUUGUGUAAGUUUAAGAUGUAGAAAGUGAUGAUUUGAUACAUGUAUACAUUGUGAAAUGUUUCCCAGAAUAAGGUUAGCUGACACAUCCUUCACCUCCCAUAAUUAGCAUGCUGUUAUUGCGGCUGUUAUGGCGAGAACAGUAAAGAGCAAGUCUCCUAGGACCUUCAAGUACACGGUAGGGUAUUGUCACCCAGAGUCGCCAUGCUGCUCACUCCAUCCCCACAUCUUUUUCACCUUAUAACUGAAAGUUUGUACCCUUUCCCCAGCUCUCCCCGCUUCCCCCAGCUCCAGCCCCUGGUAACCAUCCAUCUGCCCUCUGUUUCUAGGAUUUCGAUGUUUUCAGAUUCCACAUGUAAGUGAGAUCAUGUGGAAUUAUCUUUCUUUGUCUGACUCAUUUCACUUAGCAUAAUGCCCUC